Molecule: non-coding RNA, 75 nt
Organism: Fibrobacter sp.
Lineage: Bacteria; Pseudomonadati; Fibrobacterota; Fibrobacteria; Fibrobacterales; Fibrobacteraceae
Source: Rfam
GUCCGUUUCCCUGCUUGCACCCGAACGGGUGGGCUGUGACCUUCGAGGUAGGGGAAACAUAAAUUUCAGAGAGGC